UUGGAUACCUCAGCUGGGAGAGCAUGAGACUCUUAAUCUCAGGGCCAUGGGUUCAAGUUCCACAUUGGGCAAA
Non-coding RNA from Podarcis lilfordi (Lilford's wall lizard), 73 nucleotides. The record is from the annotation of a GenBank genome assembly. NCBI's taxonomy places the organism in Eukaryota, Metazoa, Chordata, Lepidosauria, Squamata, Lacertidae.